Triticum aestivum (bread wheat) is the source of this 115-nucleotide non-coding RNA. The record is from Rfam. Lineage: Eukaryota; Viridiplantae; Streptophyta; Magnoliopsida; Poales; Poaceae.
GUAAUACUUCCUCCGUUUUAAAUUACUUGUCGCAAAAAUGGAUGUAUCUAAAACUAAAAUACAUCUAGAUACAUCUAUACCCGCGAUAAAUAAUUCAGAACGGAGGGAAUAUAUC